AGAUUGUUAGGAGGAAACGGCAGCUUGUCAGGACUCAGGCUUCCCUUGCUGACAAAAUAUGGCGAACAGCCUCAGUGAAAUCUUCAUGGAAUCUCUGAUCUGAAAAUCUUUGUGCACGUUUCCUAGCCACAGCUGCCAUUUCUUGCCUCUCUGACUCUCGCAUCCUCAAGACCUUGAUAAUUGCUUCAGUGUAUUCUUCCUUCUCGGAGGCUAGAAAUCCCGUUUGAUGCCCAUCCUCAUCUAGCACAAUGUCCAUCAUUGGGCCUGCUGAUUUAUGUGCUGCAAAAGAUGUGGAAAGCACUAAGUGUUAUGUUUCCAAGAUUAAAGUAUGUAUCAAAGAAAUGACUUAUGCACCAGUCUUUUUAAUUGGUGCCAUCAGAAAAUCGAAAAUAUGUAUGUCCAAUCUCACCUUCAGUGGCAUUUCGCACAAAGCUUUAAAUUUACACAUUACCUUAGUAUUUAAUCCAAACAAUUGAAGGAAUAUGAAACUCAGGCAAUUACUUACCAAUUGGAAUAGCACCAGCUGCCAUAUACUCAACAACACUUAUUCCAAAAUGUUCAUCUGUCAUCGAAUGGAGCCCAGAAAUGGCACCCCCAAGAAGUCGUACCAGGUCGCUGUUAACCAAAUGAUCCUACCAGUUAACCAACAGAAGAACAUGCAUGGUGAGAAUUUUUUUUAAGUACUAUGCAGAAUACAGUACCUGUAAGAAAUAUCCCUGUGGAACUCCACAAGCUCAUCUAUUUGCAGUUCAGUGGAUCUGUCCUUAAGUUUUUGUAGUCUGUCCAGAUCCUCUUUAUUCCGGCAACUACCAACAAAUUGAAGCUUUGGCUUAGGAAAAUCAGGAUCAAGCCUUUGAAGAGCAAGUGCAAAUGCCUCCAGCUGAAGACCAUGGGCCUGGUGGAAGAGCAAGAUAGAUAAAUGUUACUCUGAAGUGGGUGACUGUAAGUUAAGCUUUUAUAUUUGAAUCUUGACAUGACAUACCUUUUCUGGGCGGAACUGUGCAACUGAAAUAAAAAUAGGAGGUGUUGUUGGUCUUUCCAGGGGAAGCACCUGCGUUAUAAACCAAAUGUUUCAGAUGAAAACUAAGAAAAUCAUCUUUAUUUAAUUUAAUAACAUAAUAGGUUAUCAGGAAGAAUAAUUAGUUAAUUUGCUUACAAAAUGUGUUCAGAUAAUGAGCACAUAAUUGAUUGAUUAUGAUUCAUAAGAAAAGUUUUGCAACACAGAUGGUUGCAGUCUAUAGACAUGCCUGAAGAGAAGAAGUAUCACAUGGAGGGUACACCCUCUUAGUAUGCUCUGGGAUCUUCCAAAUGUUUAAAAUAUGGGAUCUUGUCCAUGACGAAUUAACCAUUACAAGAUGUGCACAUGAACCCACCAGACCAUAUAACCAACUGAAUAUGGUAUAGUAGAGGAUUUUGCAUCGGGACAGCCAAAUGCUACAGUAGAAUGAGUGCCCAAUUAGUUUCCAUGGUCAUUAUUAUUACAUAAGAACAGAAAGAUAUCAUAAUUGAUGACAUAUACAGAAACAAAGAUAAUUAGGACCUCAUCCAUAGCUAUGGAAACAACAAAUCACAUCUGGAUUGCCAAACCAGAUGUCAAGCCAAUGAGUGGGCAAAAUAAUUACUAGUUGAGCAUUACUUGAUCCUAUUAAUCUAUAUGUGACAUCUUAAGGAAGAAAUAUGUGCUAAUAAAGAGCUUAGGAUAAAUUCAGACAACACUCAGGAUAAACAUGCAUAGUUAGCUAGCUCAUUAUUGGUGAUUUUAUCAUGUUUCGUGCUUUGGUUUCUCAGAUACAGUAAUGCAUCAUGUUUUUUCUGUAUCACAUAUAUUGGUGCACCAAUAAAAAGGAGUUGAAGCUAAUCACUAUGUGCAGUGCAUACCUUCCUGCGAUACGGGAGUUGUUAUUGUACAUAGAACUGCGGUGCUUAACACGUUCAACCAUAUCAGAACUGAUUGUAGGGUAAUGGGUGUAGCAGAUGACUUUGCAACCAAAUAGCCGAGCCAGUGGAUAUGUAAAAGCAUAGCCACUUGUAUCAAAGUAAAACAUGGGGGUAAAAUUAGUAAGGGCCUCCCAUGCAAGAUAAACGGAGCCAAGACUUUGCCCAAUCAUUGUGAAGUGGGGAUAGGUGCUUGCUUCGAUCCACUUUCUCUUAUUCAAGUGAACAACCUGAAAAUGCAGUCCAAACAAACCAUUAGUAGUGCUGGUAUGUCACAGCUGCUAAAAGAAUUUCUUUAGUUAAUUUUGUAAACACGAUAGGGAAAUGCUGUAGUACGGAAGGUAACACACAUUUCCCUCGCUCAGUGAGUUACUAAAGCCACAUUUCAUUUAUACUAUAAUGACAUAGAUUUAAAUCCCUAUAUACAGUAGAGGCACUUCACUCAAUUUAGCCUUUUCAGACUAUAUUUGGCAUUAUUGUUGUUUCCUUUCACUAGGAUUCCAACUUUAUCUGCAAUGGAUUCAGACUAGGGAGGUAAUCACAUAUUUUCCAUGCGCAUCUCUGAAACUGCCAGCUACCAAUGUCUAAUUUUGUACCAUACAAUGUAUUUAGACCAGCAAUAACAACAACCAGUUAUAAAUCAGCCAAGCAAAUGAUAUAGAGCCCCAAAGGUUCAAGUAGGAAGCAAGAAUAGUGUAAUUGCAUUACAUGAACAUAACUCCUAACACAGCUAACAACAGCUUCCAAGGAAGACAGGGAACUAGGCAAAAAGUUCGCAUCGCAUGUUCUACCAUCGCUAGACAGCAGAUUCCAUGCAGCAAUAUAAUGCAAGAAAAAUUUAGACAAGGCAGUCGAAAUAGUGUUAUUCAGAAUUGAGAGUCAGUAUAAGUAAGCAGGUCCUAAUAUGAACAGGAUUUCCAAAGCGGCGCAAUGCUCAACUGAAAU
This 2880-nucleotide long non-coding RNA is filed under the name Sorghum bicolor (sorghum). RNAcentral describes it as "long non-coding RNA (SBIC_LNC015090)". The record is from RNAcentral. Lineage: Eukaryota; Viridiplantae; Streptophyta; Magnoliopsida; Poales; Poaceae.